This 337-nucleotide unclassified non-coding RNA is filed under the name soil metagenome. RNAcentral's name for it is "partial contains 5.8S ribosomal RNA, internal transcribed spacer 2, and large subunit ribosomal RNA". The stretch from base 1 to 120 matches the Rfam family "5.8S ribosomal RNA", at positions 35 to 154 of the family's 154-position model. The record is from RNAcentral.
GAUGAAGAACGCAGCGAAAUGCGAUAAGUAAUGUGAAUUGCAGAAUUCAGUGAAUCAUCGAAUCUUUGAACGCACAUUGCGCCCCUUGGUAUUCCGAGGGGCAUGCCUGUUCGAGCGUCAUUACACCACUCAAGCUAUGCUUGGUAUUGGGCGUCGUCCUUAGUUGGGCGCGCCUUAAAGACCUCGGCGAGGCCACUCCGGCUUUAGGCGUAGUAGAAUUUAUUCGAACGUCUGUCAAAGGAGAGGACCUCUGCCGACUGAAACCUUUAUUUUUCUAGGUUGACCUCGGAUCAGGUAGGGAUACCCGCUGAACUUAAGCAUAUCAAUAAGCGGAGGA